This 75-nucleotide transfer RNA is filed under the name Candidatus Falkowbacteria bacterium RIFOXYA2_FULL_35_8. Its description in RNAcentral is "tRNA-Glu". It matches the Rfam family "tRNA". From Rfam's summary of the family: Transfer RNA (tRNA) molecules are approximately 80 nucleotides in length. Their secondary structure includes four short double-helical elements and three loops (D, anti-codon, and T loops). The record is from RNAcentral. Lineage: Bacteria; Candidatus Falkowiibacteriota. RNAcentral also lists the same sequence under 2 other names.
GCUCCCAUCGUCUAGUGGUUAGGACAUCAGGUUUUCAUCCUGAAAACAGGGGUUCAAUUCCCCUUGGGAGUACCA